UACGAAGGGGGCUAGCGUUGCUCGGAAUCACUGGGCGUAAAGCGCACGUAGGCGGCUUCUUAAGUCAGGGGUGAAAUCCUGGAGCUCAACUCCAGAACUGCCUUUGAUACUGAGGAGCUUGAGUCCGGGAGAGGUGAGUGGAACUGCGAGUGUAGAGGUGAAAUUCGUAGAUAUCGGGAGGAACACCAGAGGCGAAGGCGGCCACCUGGACGAACACUGACGCUGAGACGCGAAAGCGUGGGGAGCAAACAGG
This 253-nucleotide ribosomal RNA is filed under the name uncultured bacterium. RNAcentral's name for it is "partial 16S ribosomal RNA". It matches the Rfam family "Bacterial small subunit ribosomal RNA", at positions 524 to 776 of the family's 1533-position model. The record is from RNAcentral.